UCCACCUACAGUGGAGGUUACCUCUGGGGGUUACAUAUUUAUUGAAGAAGUCCAUGUUGCAAGUGGAAUGAUUUAUAUCCCUGGGAGAUCUCACCAAACGGAAGAUUGCAAAGCACAUUUUUGAAGAAAGACGAAACCGAGGAAAACAGCAAGAACUGGAGGAAGACAGAUUGGUGAUGAUAUCGCUUCAGUGCUUGAAUCUAGGCAUGCCUGAAGUCUUAUCUAUCAAUUAGAUUCAAGCUCAGGACCAGCUUCUCCUAGAAGGCAUUGCUUCAGCUGCUCUCACAAACAUUCUUACCCAC
This is a long non-coding RNA of Myotis davidii, 302 nucleotides long. RefSeq lists it as uncharacterized. NCBI's taxonomy places the organism in Eukaryota, Metazoa, Chordata, Mammalia, Chiroptera, Vespertilionidae. The record is from RefSeq and is a predicted model, not a curated record. The transcript has 3 exons.